This 393-nucleotide ribosomal RNA is filed under the name uncultured bacterium. RNAcentral's name for it is "partial 16S ribosomal RNA". It matches the Rfam family "Bacterial small subunit ribosomal RNA", at positions 523 to 918 of the family's 1533-position model. The record is from RNAcentral.
AUACGGAAGGUCCGGGCGUUAUCCGGAUUUAUUGGGUUUAAAGGGAGCGCAGGCGGGGAGCUAAGCGUGACGUGAAAUGUAGCCGCUCAACGGCUGAACUGCGUCGCGAACUGGUUUUCUUGAGUGAGUACGACGUCAGCGGAAUUCGUGGUGUAGCGGGGAAAUGCUUAGAUAUCACGAAGAACCCCGAUUGCGAAGGCAGCUGACGAGUCCUUUACUGACGCUAAAGCUCGAAGGUGCGGGUAUCGAACAGGAUUAGAUACCCUGGUAGUCCGCACGGUAAACGAUGGAUGCCCGCUGUCGGCGAUAUAUUGUCGGCGGCCAAGCGAAAGCGUUAAGCAUCCCACCUGGGGAGUACGCCGGCAACGGUGAAACUCAAAUGAAUUGACGGGG